AGGGGCAUGGCCAAGCGGUUAAGGCACCGGGUUUUGGUCUCGGCAUCCUAGGUUCGAAUCCUAGUGCCCCUG
This 72-nucleotide transfer RNA is filed under the name Calditrichota bacterium. RNAcentral describes it as "Calditrichaeota bacterium (bioreactor metagenome) tRNA-Gln". It matches the Rfam family "tRNA". From Rfam's summary of the family: Transfer RNA (tRNA) molecules are approximately 80 nucleotides in length. Their secondary structure includes four short double-helical elements and three loops (D, anti-codon, and T loops). Further hydrogen bonds mediate the characteristic L-shaped molecular structure. tRNAs have two regions of fundamental functional importance: the anti-codon, which is responsible for specific mRNA codon recognition, and the 3' end, to which the tRNAs corresponding amino acid is attached (by aminoacyl-tRNA synthetases). tRNAs cope with the degeneracy of the genetic code in two manners: having more than one tRNA (with a specific anti-codon) for a particular amino acid; and 'wobble' base-pairing, i.e. permitting non-standard base-pairing at the 3rd anti-codon position. Lineage: Bacteria; Pseudomonadati; Calditrichota. The record is from RNAcentral.